Molecule: ribosomal RNA, 1451 nt
Filed under: uncultured organism
Description: SSU rRNA
Rfam family: Bacterial small subunit ribosomal RNA
Source: RNAcentral
GAACGCUAGCUACAGGCUUAACACAUGCAAGUCGAGGGGCAUCAGGACGAAAGCUUGCUUUCUUUGCUGGCGACCGGCGCACGGGUGAGUAACACGUAUCCAACCUGCCCUUUACUCGGGGAUAGCCUUUCGAAAGAAAGAUUAAUACCCGAUGGCAUAAUGAUUCCGCAUGGUUUCAUUAUUAAAGGAUUCCGGUAAAGGAUGGGGAUGCGUUCCAUUAGGUUGUUGGUGAGGUAACGGCUCACCAAGCCUUCGAUGGAUAGGGGUUCUGAGAGGAAGGUCCCCCACAUUGGAACUGAGACACGGUCCAAACUCCUACGGGAGGCAGCAGUGAGGAAUAUUGGUCAAUGGGCGCUAGCCUGAACCAGCCAAGUAGCGUGAAGGAUGAAGGCUCUAUGGGUCGUAAACUUCUUUUAUAUAAGAAUAAAGUGCAGUAUGUAUACUGUUUUGUAUGUAUUAUAUGAAUAAGGAUCGGCUAACUCCGUGCCAGCAGCCGCGGUAAUACGGAGGAUCCGAGCGUUAUCCGGAUUUAUUGGGUUUAAAGGGAGCGUAGGUGGACUGGUAAGUCAGUUGUGAAAGUUUGCGGCUCAACCGUAAAAUUGCAGUUGAUACUGUCAGUCUUGAGUACAGUAGAGGUGGGCGGAAUUCGUGGUGUAGCGGUGAAAUGCUUAGAUAUCACGAAGAACUCCGAUUGCGAAGGCAGCUCACUGGACUGCAACUGACACUGAUGCUCGAAAGUGUGGGUAUCAAACAGGAUUAGAUACCCUGGUAGUCCACACAGUAAACGAUGAAUACUCGCUGUUUGCGAUAUACAGUAAGCGGCCAAGCGAAAGCAUUAAGUAUUCCACCUGGGGAGUACGCCGGCAACGGUGAAACUCAAAGGAAUUGACGGGGGCCCGCACAAGCGGAGGAACAUGUGGUUUAAUUCGAUGAUACGCGAGGAACCUUACCCGGGCUUAAAUUGCAGUGGAAUGAUGUGGAAACAUGUCAGUGAGCAAUCACCGCUGUGAAGGUGCUGCAUGGUUGUCGUCAGCUCGUGCCGUGAGGUGUCGGCUUAAGUGCCAUAACGAGCGCAACCCUUAUCUUUAGUUACUAACAGGUUAUGCUGAGGACUCUAGAGAGACUGCCGUCGUAAGAUGUGAGGAAGGUGGGGAUGACGUCAAAUCAGCACGGCCCUUACGUCCGGGGCUACACACGUGUUACAAUGGGGGGUACAGAAGGCAGCUAGCGGGUGACCGUAUGCUAAUCCCAAAAGCCUCUCUCAGUUCGGAUCGAAGUCUGCAACCCGACUUCGUGAAGCUGGAUUCGCUAGUAAUCGCGCAUCAGCCACGGCGCGGUGAAUACGUUCCCGGGCCUUGUACACACCGCCCGUCAAGCCAUGGGAGCCGGGGGUACCUGAAGUACGUAACCGCAAGGAUCGUCCUAGGGUAAAACUGGUGACUGGGGCUAAG